RNAcentral lists this small RNA (829 nucleotides) under Pongo abelii (Sumatran orangutan). RNAcentral's name for it is "retained intron". Lineage: Eukaryota; Metazoa; Chordata; Mammalia; Primates; Hominidae. The record is from RNAcentral.
UUGCCUGCGCAGAGCAAAAUCGGUUGUUGAUUAUAUCCACGAAAAUUCCUUCUACUAAAAUGAAUUUCAAGUCCCACCUACCCUGGAAGCAGAGAGAGAGAGAACAGAGAGAGUAAAGAGAAAGAGAAAAGAAAGAGAAGUUGAAAAAGAGAAAGAAAGCUAAGAAAGAAAGAGAAAAAAAACAAAAAUAAAUGGACAAGAAAGAAAAAGGGUGAAGGUCAACCCUGUGCUUAAUUCCAGAGACUUUCCUAGGAACAUCAUGUUGGGCAUGGAGGACUAAGGCCAGUGUGAAGAUAAGUUACCAAAUGUUUCUUAAAAAAAAAAAAAAGCCAAUAACUGAAGAAUAGUCAUAAACGACUUAGUUUUUUUGUUGUUGUUGUUGUUGUUUUGAGACAGAGUCUCCUUCUGUCGCCCAGGCGGGAGUACAGUGGCACGCACCGUACCUCCGCCUCCGGGGUUCAAGUGAUUCUCUUGCCCCAGCCUCCAGAGUAGCCACCACGCCCGGUCCAACUUAGUUUUUUAAUACUUUUUAAAAUUUGAAGACAGGGUCUCUGCCACCCAGGCUGAAAUACAGUGGCGCAAUCACAGCUCACUGCAACCUUGACUUCCUGGGGUCCUGGGCACCUCCGUCUCAGCCUCCUGAGUAGCUGUGAGUAAAGGCCUGUGCCUCUCCACUGUGCUAAUUUUCUAAUGUUUCUUGGUUUGUUUUUAAUAGAGAUGUAGUCUGGCUUUGUUGCCCAGGCCGGUCUCCAGCUUUUAGCCUCAAGCAGUCUUCCCAUCUGCUCCUCCCAAAGUGCUGGGAUUAUAGGCAUGAGUCACCUUGCAUGGG